RNA transcript from Schistocerca cancellata (South American locust), 1965 nucleotides. It is a transcript of the gene named synaptotagmin-15-like, with no coding region annotated. The record is from RefSeq and is a predicted model, not a curated record. NCBI's taxonomy places the organism in Eukaryota, Metazoa, Arthropoda, Insecta, Orthoptera, Acrididae. The transcript is spliced from 10 exons.
GAUCGCCGGCCGACCCUCUGCGACGCCGACGCCGAAGCGCACGCCGCUGCGGUCGCGAUCCGUCAACUGUUGCUCCUGAUCCACCCGCCGCUCUCAGUUUCAUACUGUCAACAGAGCAGACUCUGGUAUGUGGCGAUGUUGCUGCGCAUGCUGCGACUGCUGUCAACCAAGUGUCCAGGAUGAGACCACGCUAUUAGGUUGCCAACGACCUCAAGAUGGCCACCUGUACACUGUUCGCCGCAUAUCAAGUUUUGGGAGAACAGCCUCUAAAGAAGAUCUAGAUGAUUCCUACACUGAUCUCAGAUCUGCCAUUCCUCAGCAGUUUUCUGACAACAUAGCUGGGCAGCUAAAAGUCUGCAGAGUGCAGCCUGAGCCCAAUGAUUGUGAAUAUGCUGCCAGUACUCCACCUCCAACUCCAAGUCCUGCAGGCAGGAGGAAAGGUCGCUGGCAUCGUGCACUGGAUACAUUGCGUCCUCGGUCUAAUAAGAAUCUUCCUCUUAAGGCUGUCAAACAGUCAGCAACUUUGCCCUCUAUUACAGUAUCCUCACCAGACAUUGUUAGGGACAUCAAAAUGCAGGAAUCAAAACAGAGUGUUCCAGUGGAAGAGCCUAACUUGAGACACGCAGGAACAAUGGUAGACAUAAGUUCUGUAUCAGUUUUAAACAACACUGCUAGCUGGUUAAAAUCACAAAGUAUGCAGGAUAUAACAAGUGAAACAGAGCUGCACAUAGAAGGAGAAAGUACACCAAAAACCAAGUCUGGAGAUCUUGCUCGAUCUUUUGGUAUUGAUACGAGCCUGUAUACUACUAGUAGAUCAAGUAGCCCUGGAGCUCACUAUCAGUGUGGUGACAUCAUUGACAGCAUCUAUACAUUACCAGAUAUUUCUGGAAAAGAAUGCACAGUUGCACAAGAUUUUCCAAGUGGAAUCUUAGACUUCAGUUGUUCCUAUUUUCCAAAGAGCAAAAAGUUACUUGUGCAUGUUAAUAAGAUAGAAGACCUGGAGGUGAAAAAUGAGAAUAAUACGUAUGAAAUAAAUUUGAGGUUGACAAUAUUACCAGCAGAGAAGCACAACAAGAACUCAAAAUCUUACAAAGUGACACAAGUUGUUGAAAUAGAAGAGGACUUUCAGUUUACUUUGAAGGACAUAUCAGAGAAGAUAUUGAGAAUAUCAGUUUAUAACAUAAAGAAUAUUGGAAAAUAUAGUGCAAUUGGCCACACUCUUUUAAAUCUUGAAGAUGUACCUUUUGGAAAGGCACAAAGAUAUUCACUGAAGCUCUAUAAACAGUCACAACAACACCGGAACCUUGGAAAUGUGAUGGUCUCCAUGUCAUACCAAAGCAAUGAUCAGCAGCUUAUAGUUCAUGUGAAGAAAGCAAAAAGCCUUUCAGGAUCACACAUUGUAAAAAAUAAUAAAGCGACAGUGAAAUGGAAUACUUUCGUUAAAAUCAGUUGCUUCUGUGGUGAUGAGAAGAUCAAAACAAAAAAGUCACCUGUAAUUCAGGAUGAACAAAAUCCUGUGUACGACUACAGUUGUGCUCUCAAGCUACCAUCAGAACAUUCGGAUGAAUGCUAUGUUGUUAUAUCUGUGAUGAUGAAAGGACUAUUUAAGAAAGAUAUACCGAUUGGGCGUCUGAUACUGGGACCCUCUUUUUACUCAGGACACGCUGCAACCAUAUGGGGAAGGGUUAUGCUUUACCAUGAGUCCAUAACACACUGGUUUCCCUUGUAUUUAUAGUGAUAAAAAUGCUUAUAACUUUGUAUUUUUUUCUUGGAUGAUGCUUAAAUGUUCAUGUGUACAUAGAAUCUGUGUCAUCAAAUGGUUGCUGAGUGAAUGUGACUUACAUUCCUGCUAUCACAAUCAAGCUGUUCCAUAUUUAAACAAAAAGAGAAUGCAACUUUUGUGACAUACAGGUUUCUGUCUGUGGUACAGAUGGUAAAUGAAGUGUGAGAAAGUUUUGUUAAGCA